UACGUAGGGUGCAAGCGUUGUCCGGAAUUAUUGGGCGUAAAGAGCUCGUAGGCGGUCUGUUGCGUCGGCUGUGAAAACCCGGGGCUCAACUCCGGGCCUGCAGCCGAUACGGGCAGACUAGAGUUCGGCAGGGGAGACUGGAAUUCCUGGUGUAGCGGUGAAAUGCGCAGAUAUCAGGAGGAACACCGGUGGCGAAGGCGGGUCUCUGGGCCGAUACUGACGCUGAGGAGCGAAAGCGUGAGGAGCGAACAGG
This 253-nucleotide ribosomal RNA is filed under the name uncultured bacterium. RNAcentral describes it as "partial 16S ribosomal RNA". It matches the Rfam family "Bacterial small subunit ribosomal RNA", at positions 524 to 776 of the family's 1533-position model. The record is from RNAcentral.